CAGACGGUCUCAUCAUUGACUGAGCAGGGCCAAACUCAGGGAAGGAGGCAGUCAUGCAAAGAACUGAAGAGUCCUGUUAAGACUUUACGCUUAUGAGUUGCUGGGGAAAACCACAAGCAGAAAG
Long non-coding RNA from Sapajus apella (tufted capuchin), 124 nucleotides. RefSeq lists it as uncharacterized. The record is from RefSeq and is a predicted model, not a curated record. Lineage: Eukaryota; Metazoa; Chordata; Mammalia; Primates; Cebidae. The transcript is spliced from 3 exons.